This 419-nucleotide ribosomal RNA is filed under the name bacterium. RNAcentral's name for it is "partial 16S ribosomal RNA". It matches the Rfam family "Bacterial small subunit ribosomal RNA", at positions 355 to 776 of the family's 1533-position model. The record is from RNAcentral.
UGGGGGAUAUUGCACAAUGGGCGAAAGCCUGAUGCAGCGACGCCGCGUGGGGGAUGAAGGCCUUCGGGUUGUAAACUUCUUUUGCUCUGAACAAGGCAUGCUAAUGGGUGUGUUGAGUGUAGGGGUUGAUUAGCGCCGGCUAACUACGUGCCAGCAGCCGCGGUAAUACGUAGGGCGCGAGCGUUGUCCGGAAUUAUUGGGCGUAAAGGGCUUGUAGGUGGCUGGUUGCGUCUGUCGUGAAAGCUCAUGGCUUAACUGUGGGUUUGCGGUGGGUACGGGCUGGCUUGAGUGCAGUAGGGGAGGCUGGAAUUCCUGGUGUAGCGGUGGAAUGCGCAGAUAUCAGGAGGAAUACCGGUGGCGAAGGCGGGUCUCUGGGCUGUUACUGACACUGAGGAGCGAAGGCAUGGGGAGCGAACAGG